AUAUUUGGAAGAGACAGGGUUUCGCCAUACACUACCUUUUCUAUAUUGAGAUAUGUUUAGAUACACAAACACUUAUUAUUGUGCUACAAUUGGCUUUAGUAUUUGGAACAUGCUGUACACAUUUGUAGCCCAGAAACAAUAGUCUAUACCAUCUAGCUUAGGUGUUUGGUAGAGACUGGAGAAAAGAGAAAAUCAGUUCGUGGUUGCAUUAUGGAUGCCAAUCUGAGUGUUCUCAACUUGGUUAUUGUAAAAAAAGGAGAGAAGGAUAUUCCUGGACUGACUGAUACUACAAUGCCUCACCGCCUGGCACCCAAAAGAGCUAGCAGAAUCCGCAAACUUCUCAAUCUCUCUAAAGAAGUUGAUGUCCGCUGGUAUGUCACAAGAAAGCCCUUAAACAAAGAAGGUAAGAAACCUAGGACCAAAGCGCCCAAGAUUCAGUGUCUUGUUACUCUUCACGUCCUGCAGCACAAACGGCAGUGUACUGCUCUGAAAAAGCAGCAUACUAAGAAAAAUAAGGAAGAGGCUGCAGGAUAUGCUGAACUUUGGCCAAGAGAAUGAAGGAAGCUAAAGAGAAGUGCCAAGAACAAAUUGCGAAGAGACGCAGACUUUCUUCUCCGCGAGCUUCUAAGUCUGAAUCCAGUCAGAAAUAAGAUUAUUUGAGUAACAAAUAAGUAAGAUCGGACUCAAAAA
Molecule: RNA transcript, 690 nt
Organism: Sapajus apella (tufted capuchin)
Lineage: Eukaryota; Metazoa; Chordata; Mammalia; Primates; Cebidae
Gene name: 40S ribosomal protein S6 pseudogene
Exons: 1
Source: RefSeq, a predicted model, not a curated record